This 348-nucleotide long non-coding RNA is filed under the name Vigna radiata. Its description in RNAcentral is "long non-coding RNA (VRAD_LNC006151)". The record is from RNAcentral. Lineage: Eukaryota; Viridiplantae; Streptophyta; Magnoliopsida; Fabales; Fabaceae.
GGGAACCAAAUUUAACAUUUUUAAAACAAAAGGGGGACUGAAACGAACUUUAUUGCACGAACUCAGAUUGUUUAUCCAUAUUACAACACGCCUGAUAUUACAUGAACAAAACAUGAAGCUAAACACCUAAGCCAUUACAUGAACAAAACAUACAUUGCACACCUAACAUCAAACUAAACACAGCCACAAUAAGAGCAAACACAACUCCAACUAAGAACUUUAUACUUCUCUGCAACUCUUUAACAUCAUUUUCGAGAUCACAUAUCCUGUUGCUUUGCCUCAGACUUGUACCAUCUCUGUCAUCAGCGUUGUCAUCCUAUUUGAAAAUCCACCCUAUUAUUCACCAAG